RNAcentral lists this long non-coding RNA (3186 nucleotides) under Nicotiana benthamiana. RNAcentral's name for it is "long non-coding RNA (NBEN_LNC022728)". Lineage: Eukaryota; Viridiplantae; Streptophyta; Magnoliopsida; Solanales; Solanaceae. The record is from RNAcentral.
GCAAGACAUAAUAACAUUUGUUUUUACUAUGAUUCUCAAAGAAACUUUCACAAUUAAGGAUCAUACUAUUGGGUUUAAUGUCCAAGCCCAUUAGCCUAGGCCCAGAACUGCUCAAGUGAGUCCCAUAUUGGGUUUUGUUGCAAGUCUGGCCCAAUUUGUGCCAUAUUCAAACGAUCAUGCAAUGGUAAUGCUUAUUACAAAGAGUUCGAGUCGCUAUGAACCUAUACUAAUAAUUAAGCAUAAACUAAAUUUAAAAUCAUUCGAACAAUUCAUUUUUACUGAUGCAGGUCCAUAAAUAUACGAUAUACUCCUAAGUAUAGCCAACAUCUAAAGAAGAAAAAAAGAGAAAAAAUUUAAAGUAAAAAUCCAAGAAAAAUUUUCCAAACUUCAAGCUUCUCCACUGCCAUCGAAUCAUUUAAACCAAGCUUCAACUUGUAAGAAAUCAGCUAUAAAACUCUUUCUCACAAGUUAGCAUUUCGAACUCCAGUCCCGAGAUUUCCUGGCCUUAUUGCCGCUCACAUACAAAACAACAAAGAUAAAAUAUAGGUUUUAGUACUUGUGGAAUUCUAUUUAAAUAAUGUAUUAUCAGCUAGGUAGCAAAAUAGGCAGAAGGAAACAAAAACAACUUUAGUAAACAAACUUUAGGUUCAGUAUAACUCAGAAAUGGGCUCACAGUUGUAAAAAGGACACACCGGUUCAAACAGUCAAAUAGUAGAGCCAUGGACUUUUGCUCUUUUCAUGUCAAACACAUCAAUUAACAGAAGAAAUAAUCAAGAGUUUAAGUGAAACUAAUUAACAUGCUAAUGUAAAAGAAUCGACAUAUGAUGACAGAUGAAAACUAUCAACUUAUUCAUGCUAAAAUGAGUCUUAGAAUACAGGCAAAUACCUGAUUACAGCGAAAUAGACCAAAACCAAGAGAAAUAGAUCUCAUAAACAGCAACACCAGCUACAAAACAAGUGAAUAACCUUUUGAAUCUUUAAAGAUGGAGCAUCCACCAAAAAUCCAAAUAGCAGCAGUAAACCACAUCCCAGAAAACCAAUAACCAGUACUUCAAAACCUCCCAGAAACGCAGAGUACUAGAAAAUAACCUAAAAAUCUAUACUAGAGGACUGAAGCUUUUUCCAAAAAAAAAAAAAGAAAUUUCAUGGAUCUUCCUUGUAUUCUUAAAGUUUUUAGGACCAUAUAUCUUGAUCAAUGUUUGUGUGUGCAUGAAGGGAUGCUUUCCUAUUUAUAGAGUGUUUACCGAUAGCAUCAAAAUGGCAUAUUCUAACCUGAAUUCUGAAUUUUCAGGAUAGUACAACAUCAUUGAUAGAUGUAUGUCUUUUUUCCCACCCAAUUUCAGCAUCUUUUGCUAAAAAAAGGGGAAACUGUCCAAAGACCUAGAACCUCCUAAUAUUUAACAUAUGUUAAACUCAAAUUUUAACCCUUCAAUUACUGACUAUUUCAAUUCUGACCUCUAUUCUGACUUCAAUUCAAUUCAAGCCAUUUUAGGACCUUCUAGAAACAACCAAGUGAUUAGGUUGCUUUAAUUUGCUAAUUCUGACUUCAAUUCAGUUCCUGCCAUUUUUAGGACCUUCUAGAAACAACCAAGUGAUUAGGUUGCUUUAAUUUGCUAACCUAGAGUAUUGCAUUUUUUUCUGCAAUUAAACUAAGGUUUUAGUUUCAAUUUAGAGGUUUAAACCUAUAUGAAAAUUUUCAAAUCAAUUAAUCCUAAACAAACAAUGCAUGAAACUCACACUCAAAUAACUAUUGAAAUCCAACGUGCUUAUGGAAAGAAAACCAGAAAUCAAAACUAACUAAAUUCAAAUUAAACAAGGUCGAAUCCAGCUAAAGCUAAAAAGAUCAAGAAUCGACUAAUUAGGCAAUUGAUUAACCUUUAAAUCCAUUUUAAUUAUCUUAAUUAACACUGAAACAAAACUUGCAAGAAGAAAAAUACAAAAAGGAAAAAACAUAAUAGGCGAAUCAUAAGAACCUAAACAUGCCAAACCUAAUUAGAUUUGAACCCAGGCAACAAUAAGUUUCUAAUGAAAAAAUGUUGAAACAUGCAAUUAAUGAAACUAAACAGUCGAAGAAAACAAAAGAAAACAUAAAUCAUGCUGCUAAAUCAAAAGAAAUGAGAUGACAGGGAAUAAUUAGAAAAGGAAAGGAGAAAAGAAGGGCAAAGCAAUUACCAGGCUUUUUUCCAACCGGACCAAUCAGGGAUUUAAUCGAACUCCACCGGGGUGAAAUGAACUUGAACUACCAUUAAUCGACUAUUCUUAACCAGAAUAAUAUACCAAUGGAGGUUUUAGGUUCACAACAACACAUAUCGAUCAAAGAAAAAUUAAAGAGGGGAAAAACUAGGGUUCAGGAUUUCAUAUUUGAAAUUCGAAGGAACUGGCCGGGAUUUUCGUGAAUUCAAAGGUAAGAUAGUGAUGAGGGAAGGCUAGGGACUAUAUGGUGUGAGUUUAGGACCGUUUGGGUGAUUUAUAGUUUUUAGGUUUCUAUCUUAGAUUUAAGAUUCAAAACAUUUGGUGGGGAUUUGAGGGAAACAGGUUGGAGAUUUAGAAAUGGGAUGGAAAGAAGGUUGCAAGGUGUUUGUUUGGUAAGGUUUGAGGUGUUGCCACCGUCAUGGAAUGAUGCCGGUGAGGGAAUGAGGGUGGCUAGGGUUUGAUCCAACGAGAGAGAGGAGAAAUUGAGUGAGGGUUGAAUAUGGGGGGGGGGGCGGUCUGUCUCGUUAGGAUAGCUUGUUCCGAACUUUGGAUCACCAAGAUCCAAUGGCUGUGAUUAGGGAUGGGUAAACCGGGGUUGUUUGGGAGGUAAAGGAGCUAGACGUGUAGGGCUACGUUUAGGCUUGAGUCUGGAUUAGUUUGGAAUGGAAUUUCGGGUAUAAGAUUAACCUAAUUUCAAAUUAAGCCCCUUUACCUUUUCAAAUUUCUUUGUUUUAUUUUUUCUUUUUUUUUAAUUAAAAAUCCUAAAUUAAAUCCCUAAACUGUAAAAUUAAGCUAAUUAUCUAAUUAUAAAUUUUAUAACAAUUACUAAACGAAACUAAAAGAGAGAAUUCACUAAUCUAAGAAUUAAAAUCAAAAAAUGUAAAAAUAGUCAUUUUUGUGAUUUUCAUUUUCAAUAGCACAAAUAAUUAACUAAUUAAUCCUAAAAAUGUAUAAAAAGCAAAAAACUAAUGCAAUGCAUUGUAUUUUUUACAU